GACGAACGCUGGCGGCGUGCUUAACACAUGCAAGUCGAACGGAAAGGCCCUGCUUUUGUGGGGUGCUCGAGUGGCGAACGGGUGAGUAACACGUGAGUAACCUGCCCUUGACUUUGGGAUAACUUCAGGAAACUGGGGCUAAUACCGGAUCGGAGCUCCUGCUGCAUGGUGGGGGUUGGAAAAUUUCGGCGGUUGGGGCUGGACUCGCGGCUUAUCAGCUUGUUGGUGGGGUAGUGGCUUACCAAGGCUUUGACGGGUAGCCGGCCUGAGAGGGUGACCGGCCACAUUGGGACUGAGAUACGGCCCAGACUCCUACGGGAGGCAGCAGUGGGGAAUAUUGCACAAUGGGCGGAAGCCGGAUGCAGCAACGCCGCGUGCGGGAUGACGGCCUUCGGGUUGUAAACCGCUUUCGCCUGUGACGAAGCGUGAGUGACGGUAAUGGGUAAAGAAGCACCGGCUAACUACGUG
RNAcentral lists this ribosomal RNA (468 nucleotides) under uncultured bacterium. RNAcentral's name for it is "partial 16S ribosomal RNA". It matches the Rfam family "Bacterial small subunit ribosomal RNA", at positions 28 to 507 of the family's 1533-position model. The record is from RNAcentral.